AUACGGAGGAUGCGAGCGUUAUCCGGAUUUAUUGGGUUUAAAGGGUGCGUAGGUGGUAGAUUAAGUCAGCGGUGAAAGUUUGUCGCUCAACGAUAAAAUUGCCGUUGAUACUGGUUUCCUUGAGUACGGUAUAGGCGGGCGGAAUUCGUGGUGUUGCGGUGAAAUGCUUAGAUAUCACGAAGAACUCCGAUCGCGAAGGCAGCUCACCGGGCCGGAACUGACACUGAUGUUCGAAAGUGCGGGUAUCAAACAGGAUUAGAUACCCUGGUAGUCCGCACAGUAAACGAUGAAUACUCGCUGUUUGCGAUACACUGUAAGCGGCCAAGCGAAAGCGUUAAGUAUCCACCUGGGGAGUACGCCGGCAACGGUGAAACUCAAAGGAAUUGGCGGGG
Molecule: ribosomal RNA, 392 nt
Filed under: uncultured bacterium
Lineage: Bacteria
Description: partial 16S ribosomal RNA
Rfam family: Bacterial small subunit ribosomal RNA
Source: RNAcentral